AACCAUUCAGGGAUCAUCCCC
This 21-nucleotide ribosomal RNA is filed under the name Trichoderma inhamatum. Its description in RNAcentral is "partial 18S ribosomal RNA". The record is from RNAcentral. Lineage: Eukaryota; Fungi; Ascomycota; Sordariomycetes; Hypocreales; Hypocreaceae.